Molecule: ribosomal RNA, 200 nt
Filed under: uncultured bacterium
Lineage: Bacteria
Description: partial 16S ribosomal RNA
Rfam family: Bacterial small subunit ribosomal RNA
Source: RNAcentral
AACGAACGCUGGCGGCAGGCUUAACACAUGCAAGUCGAACGCCCCGCAAGGGGAGUGGCAGACGGGUGAGUAACGCGUGGGAAUCUACCUAGUUCUACGGAACAACACAGGGAAACUUGUGCUAAUACCGUAUACGCCCUAAGGGGGAAAGAUUUAUCGGAAUUAGAUGAGCCCGCGUAAGAUUAGCUAGUUGGUGGGUA